CCCAAAAGCUCAAUACAGUGAUCUGCACCCAGUGAGCAUUCAAUAAAUACCAAUGAUUGAAUCUUUCUUUUUUAAAAAUUUUUUAUACAGCUUGGAUGGCAGGGAAUCUUUCCCACGAGUGUUCUCACCAGAAGUGAAAUCUCAAGUAUGUUCAUUGCAGAGUUCAUAUCCAAACUCAGUCAUAAAAGGUUUCGAGACAGUAAGAUCUGCAAAGGAUACAGAAAGCGGUAUCCUGAAUUCUAUCCUCCCCACUUUCUGUACAACUUUGGGGGAAGUAAAUCUCUCGUUGUAAAACUGAAGUGUGUGGGGCUUAACAUUAAAUUUGGUGAGCC
RNAcentral lists this long non-coding RNA (332 nucleotides) under Ornithorhynchus anatinus (platypus). RNAcentral's name for it is "lncRNA (ENSOANG00000049002.1)". The record is from RNAcentral. Lineage: Eukaryota; Metazoa; Chordata; Mammalia; Monotremata; Ornithorhynchidae.